RNAcentral lists this ribosomal RNA (253 nucleotides) under uncultured bacterium. RNAcentral's name for it is "partial 16S ribosomal RNA". It matches the Rfam family "Bacterial small subunit ribosomal RNA", at positions 524 to 776 of the family's 1533-position model. The record is from RNAcentral.
UACGUAGGGGGCAAGCGUUGUCCGGAAUUAUUGGGCGUAAAGGGCGCGUAGGCGGGAUGGCAAGUCAGUCGUGAAAUCUCUCGGCUCAACCGAGAAACGUCGGCUGAUACUGCCGUUCUUGAGGGAUGCAGAGGAGACUGGAAUUCCCGGUGUAGCGGUGAAAUGUGUAGAGAUCGGGAGGAACACCGGUGGCGAAGGCGGGUCUCUGGGCAUUUCCUGACGCUGAGGCGCGAAAGCGUGGGGAGCAAACGGG